This 423-nucleotide long non-coding RNA is filed under the name Mustela putorius furo (domestic ferret). RNAcentral's name for it is "lncRNA (ENSMPUG00000027902.1)". The record is from RNAcentral. Lineage: Eukaryota; Metazoa; Chordata; Mammalia; Carnivora; Mustelidae.
AUGGCUCCGUUGAUACUGGAACAUUUUCACCUGCCUAACGAAGCUGCCUUUGCCUGCCAUGUUCCUGACGUUCCCAAUCCCUCCCGCUUCACCCCAUCCACCUGGUAACACCUUACCCCUUUCACCUGAUAAACACCCACUCAUCUUUUGAGGCUUAAAGUCAUCUCGUUUAGAAACCUGUUCCCCAAUCCCUACCCCCUUCUUCUAGCUAUCACUGUACCUCAGUACCUUGUGCAUAUUUUUAGCAUGACACCUUGCUGGCAUUUAUUGUUUGCAAGUUUAACUUUGCUACUAGACCUAGUUGCCAUGUCCCAUGCAUUUUUGUACUCAGAUACAUAGGCCCUUUUAAAAAGCUGUCGAGAAAAUUAGUUCUAACGCUAGUAGACCUCAGUAAAUGUAGAGCUGAGCCAAUUUCCCUCAGGG